AGCAAAUAAAUAGUCAAUUAGUCAAUUUAGUCAGCAGAAAGCAAAAAAAAAAGAGCUAUCGUUAAUAAGUUUUAAAUAAACCACUAAUGUUUCGCCGCAGAACUACGUGUCCCAUGAUGCCCCGCGCGGUCAAGAUGAGCAAAUGGAACACGGAGCGGAGCAGCCGCGGUGACAGCUGAGUUUACUGAGAGACCCUAAAGCGACCACGGACACACUCAGGUGAAACAAAACAUAACAAACGUGGUGAAUUUCCACAGCGCUCCAGCAGCAGCAGCAGCAGCAGGGUGGGAUUUCCCUCUGAGGACACACUCGGGACGGGACAGGACAGAAGCCGGCCGGUAAAGCAGCACUAGCGGCAGAGAUCAUUUGAUUUAAUGGGUGUACACUGAACAAGACAGUUCCCUCUCCUGCACAGAUCAUCACAUGCUAACUGCUGCAGCGUCACAGUAAUCAUACUCUCCAACGAGUUUGAGCCUGAUGCCCUGAGAGCCUUUCUUAUCUCCCUGAGCCACCAGGGGGCCUCAGUCCCACAGUGGCACAGCUGUAGCCUUCAGUUUGUCUUCAUCCUGAACCCUCCGGCCCCAGU
Hippoglossus stenolepis (Pacific halibut) is the source of this 586-nucleotide long non-coding RNA. RefSeq lists it as uncharacterized. The transcript has 4 exons. NCBI's taxonomy places the organism in Eukaryota, Metazoa, Chordata, Actinopteri, Pleuronectiformes, Pleuronectidae. The record is from RefSeq and is a predicted model, not a curated record.